This 673-nucleotide small RNA is filed under the name Conomitra linearis. Its description in RNAcentral is "eukaryotic LSU rRNA". The stretch from base 256 to 411 matches the Rfam family "5.8S ribosomal RNA". The record is from RNAcentral. Lineage: Eukaryota; Viridiplantae; Streptophyta; Magnoliopsida; Gentianales; Apocynaceae.
CGGAAGGAUCAUUGUCGAAUCCUAAAAACAACUUGCGAAUAUGUUCAAUAACUUGCGUUCGGUGUUGGGGUAAAACCCUUGCCUUUCGCUACUUGCCUGCCUUGGCUAACAUUGUUGGCCUUGUUGGGCAAUUGUAACAUAAAUCGGCGCGGGAAGCGCCAAGGACUUAUGAAAUAGGAUGCCUUUCCUGUGGGGGUGGACCGUUUGCGGAGUCAUCACCACAGGAACCAAAGGACUCCAAAUGUAACAUUAUACGACUCUCGACAACGGAUAUCUAGGCUCUCGCAUCGAUGAAGAACGUAGCAAAAUGCGAUACUUGGUGUGAAUUGCAGAAUCCCGUGAAUCAUCGAGUUUUUGAACGCAAGUUGCGCCCAAAGCCAUUAGGCCGAGGGCACGUCUGCCUGGGUGUCACGCAUGGCGUCGCCCCUCAUCCCCCUUGGUCCCUCAAGGUCCGUGGGUGAAGUUUGUGGGGCGGAAUUUGGCUUCCUGUAACUCCUUAGUUGCGGCUAGCCUAAAAAUGUUGUUCCCUCGCCGCGCACGUUGCGACAAGUGGUGGUCGAUUCAAUUGAGCGCGAGUUGUCGGCAAGUCGCGUCGAGGAGAGCUUCGGAUCCUUUGUGCACGAGUCCUUCAUUAAGAGGGACAUAUGUCCACGACUGCGACCCCAGGUCAGGC